GGCAUCGCCUCACGCCCCCCCUCAGCGGCGGCCGGGGCCGGAGCGGGGGCUGGGCCGGGGGCGGGCUGGGUCGCGGCUGCCUCAGCGCAUCGGAAUGUCGGCGCGACCCCCGCGCGGCAGCAGCCCACGAGUGCAAGGAGCUCGUCACGCUGUUUUCUAAGGGAAGAACAAAUCUGAACACUGGAAAGGCAGAUUUACUGCUAUAUGUUGUAUUCUGAUACUUCAGGAAACACUUUGCACCUCCUUGUCAUAACUGCUGUGUAAGGGUGACACAACUGCUGAAGAAGUGUGUCAAACAGCCAGUGAAAUUAACCACAGAAAGUCUAUGGAAGUUAUGUAUUUUCAAAGACUUUACAUUGUUUCUCUUAAUAAAUCAUGCCAGACACAGUGUGAUUGUAUUUAGUCACUCACCACUGCCUGAAAUUACACCUACUAUUCAAUUUCGUUCAUGCAGUGGCCUACAGGUUCUGAUUACCAGAAUAACAAGAGAAAAUGCCUACCACGGCAAAACACCUCAAUCUUUUUAGCAGCAUAACAUCAAAAUCAGUUACUGCUCAGGAGAGGAGACAUAGCUAAUCUGAAUUAAAUCAGCCAAUUAACUUGUAAUAUUAAUAAUUCUGUACUGUAAUACAGUAGGAUACGAUCUGGGUCAUUCAAAAAAUUGCAGCCAUCCCCUUGACUCCAGUGUGGCCCAGAUUCCAUUCACUGCAUAGCAAUGCUGUAACACAGUAGUUUGCAAAAAGUAAAACUGGACUAGUCGAUCCUUUCCAAUUCAUGUUCUGUAGAAUCUAUGUGUUUGUUUUUUUUUUUUCAUGUAUUAUUUCAGUGUACUGAAUUUCAACCCUGAGUACAGUUCGUUACUAAUAUGCUAGUGUACUUUACAUUUUUUAGUAUCAGAGGCACAGUAACUACUUUAUAACUGAUCGUGCAAUGUAUUUUCAACACUACAACAGUGACAAUGAAUUAUCCUCUAAACACACAGGCAACAGGAACCUUUCCGUGAAAGCUUUUUCCAGUUUCUCUCUGCUUUUCCAGUUGUUUUAAAAGGGCAGGAAAGUUAGUAUCACAUUAUUCCAGUGGAAAAAUAUAUAUAUAAAUUUUCCUUCACAAUGUGUUCGCACUUUCUCUCAGCUUGCAAUACUCCACCAAUAAAAGGUAUACUGUACUGAAAAGAAAAUGAUACAUUUUACAGAAUGAAAAUUUGGAGAAGUCACCAUACCCUUGACUCAGGAUGCUUUGAUCAUAAUCAAAAGGAUUAGGCAUCUGUGUAACUCCAAACAUACACCAGUGGAACAACUUAGCAUGCCAGUUAAAAACUACUUAGUUUUUAAUGGGAUUUCUUCCUUUGAAUCCAAGUUAGAAGUUAUACGCAAAUCAUGAGAAAGAUGAGUCUGUAGUCACUGCACACCUGUGACUGAGGCAAGCCAUCUUCUUUCCAUUCCAGCUGAAGUAUGUAGUCCUCUAAGGUGAUGCAAGAAGAUUUCCUUAGGAAGACCCAGCUUUGCAGGAGUGAAUUUUGAGCUGUGUGACCUCAGCACUACACAGAUGAAGAAACUAUUUUUUGGUGCACCAGAAUGGACUUGUGGAGCAUGGUUUCUUUUUAAAUUUCUUGACCAAGCAUAAAGUGCUUUAAGAAUGCUUCAGUUUUCCUUUUUCUCUCACUGUACAUAACUUCCCCAGCUUUUCAUGAGAAGUAGCUGUCACUCAUCACACUUCUCUAUCUGGCCUGACAAUGCAGAAAGACAACACUUCCGUUUUACCGUGCUGCUAGAUCCACCAGCAACAAAAAGCAAACACAUAUGCUCAAGGUGGAGAUUCAGAUAUAAUGUUUUAUUGAUCUAGGGUUCUACAGAAUAUUAAUAACUAGAGAAAAAUACAGGACUUCCAGAAAAUAUUGGUAUGUCUUUUAGCUCUUAACAAGUAACCCAUCAUGUUUUUGGAGUCAGAGUUAAAAAAAAUUAAUUCAACUUCAAGUGAUGCAUAAAUAUUAAAUUCUACACAUCCCUGCAAGAUGGUAAGUACUAUUUGCAUUACACAGACGGGGAAACCAAAGCUGUGCAAGCUUACUCAGGCAAUUUUUGCAACAUCCAGAAGGAAAAGCAGCUACAGUGCUAGGAUCAGUGCUCAAGAAUACCUGGCUGUUGGUUAUUUUUUUUAUUGUGUGUGCACAUUCUGAACUCAACUUCACUUGCCUAAGACCUAAUGUAUAAUGGGGUAUUUUGUCUUUAAUCAUGGUAUUCUGUAACAAUAUUUUCAAACAAUUUAUUUAACAAAUUACAUAAAACAUGUAAAAUAUGCUUUUAAUUUAAAAAAAAAAAAAAAAAAAAAAAAAAAAA
Molecule: non-coding RNA, 2336 nt
Organism: Anas platyrhynchos (mallard)
Lineage: Eukaryota; Metazoa; Chordata; Aves; Anseriformes; Anatidae
Source: RefSeq, a predicted model, not a curated record